GACGAACGCUGGCGGCGUGCCUAAUACAUGCAAGUUGAGCGCUGAAGGUUGGUACUUGUACCAACUGGAUGAGCAGCGAACGGGUGAGUAACGCGUGGGGAAUCUGCCUUUGAGCGGGGGACAACAUUUGGAAACGAAUGCUAAUACCGCAUAAAAACUUUAAACACAAGUUUUAAGUUUGAAAGAUGCAAUUGCAUCACUCAAAGAUGAUCCCGCGUUGUAUUAGCUAGUUGGUGAGGUAAAGGCUCACCAAGGCGAUGAUACAUAGCCGACCUGAGAGGGUGAGCGGCCACAUUGGGACUGAGACACGGCCCAAACUCCUACGGGAGGCAGCAGUAGGGAAGCUUCGGCAAUGGACGAAAGUCUGACCGAGCAACGCCGCGUGAGUGAAGAAGGUUUUCGGAUCGUAAAACUCUGUUGGUAGAGAAGAACGUUGGUGAGAGUGGAAAGCUCAUCAAGUGACGGUAACUACCCAGAAAGGGACGGCUAACUACGUG
RNAcentral lists this ribosomal RNA (497 nucleotides) under uncultured bacterium. RNAcentral describes it as "partial 16S ribosomal RNA". It matches the Rfam family "Bacterial small subunit ribosomal RNA", at positions 28 to 507 of the family's 1533-position model. The record is from RNAcentral.